AAAAAAAGGAAAUUAUUAUUUUCUACGUUUUGGCGUAUUUGUCAAGUAAAUGAACAUUCGUUAGCUACGCAGAUUUGCAAAUCUCUGACCCUUUGCCCAGUUGAUGCCACCAGUGUAGUGUCAAUUCCAAAAAGGAAUGCCCAAAAAUUCUCUGCCAAUAACGAUGUCGUUUGACGGAUUUCCUCCUUUCAUCUCUGCUCAGCUUCAGUACCUCCUCACCCAUUAUCCUCACGCAAUCAAGAUUGACCAGGUGUGCUCAGGUAGCAAGUAUUUCCCUGCAAGUCUUGAUCGUUUUACGUUGCUCAUCCCUUAUUGCCUGGACUAUCUCCGAUGGGAUAUUAUAUACAAUGUAGAAUUUCCACUUGCUGCCCCGGAUGUUAUAUUUGGACCUGAAGACGAAGAUUUCCAUCCAUUUCUUGUACCGGGUGGUGAGAGUGGAGAUUUAAGGUUAGUCAAGAACAGUUUGACUGAUUGGAACAGCAAAGAUCCAACAAGUCUGUUGGCUAUUGUUGAGGAAUUGAGGGAUAAAUACAAGUCCUACCAAAAGAGGCUUGUUGGAGAAGUUGAUGAUGAUCGAUUGAAGUUUGAAAUUAGCACUAUCUUAUCUAGGGAGGUACUUUUCACUAAAUGCUAACCUUUUUUUUGCAAGAAGGGGAUGUUCAACUUUGUUUUUUAAUGAAUGCUUGUUAAUUAUUUUGCUGGAUACACUCGCUUAUGUACUCUUUUUAUGAAUUCAGUUCUCAUUGUUUGAAACUACUCCUUUAUUUAUCAAAUAGUCAAAUAUCAUAAUGGGGAAUUAAUUCUUCUGUUGGCUUUUGGAAAUGAUCAGUUCUCAGCAUAGACAUUUUCAUAAAAUUUCUGUUUGAUUAUUUGGUUCUUCAUCAUGUAAUCUAUUUUGGUUUCCUUCACUCUGAUUUCACUGGUUUUUUCUUCAUGCUAUUGGUGACAAUGUCACAAAAUUAAUGAAGUUAAGGAGGUGGAUUAAGCUAUCAUCUGCCUUUCAAGUUGAUUUCACUAAUUUUACUGUUUUUGAUUGUUUUUACUUUCUAUGGCAUAUAAUUCCAAUGACACAAUGGAGUGAAUACAUUAUUAUUCCCUGUCUUACUGAAACUCCAAUUAUUAUGCUGCAGGGGAUUGAAAUGCAUAUGAGUUCUGGUUUUGAGAAGCCAGAGGAGGUCAAAUUUGCAGUUCCUUUAAUGGACAUGAACAUAAAUAAAAUGAUACUUGCAUGUCCCUGGAGGAAUCCACAAAAGAUAUACUUACAGGUUGUUUAUCCUGUUGGUAGAAAGUAUGUAUCUGCUCCUUCAGCACCUCGUCUGAAAUUAAUGUCUACUUCUGAGUUGAAAGCUCUAUUUUCCAUUGAUGAUGUCAAACUUCCUCCAUGGUUGGAUGGAAUGUGCAUGGCUGAAUACCUUCCCCAUCUAGAAGAACUCCUUCAGAGACAGGUCUCAGAGGCAGUUUCCUUAAUUGAUGUCAGGAGGCUCUUUAUCGAGGCUUUAGUCCCACUGUUUGGAAGACCAUUAGAAGCUGAUCCAGUAUGCCUGCUUGGCCCUUUUAUGAAUGCAAUCAUUUAAUCCAUCAAGGCUGGCUACUAUUCAUUUUGCUUUUUCACUUGCUAGGUUUUUUGCAGAAAAGCUACAUUUCUUGCUACCUCUGGUCCAGUUACUCUCCUGGUACCAUAUGAUUUUCACUGCAUCUUGUUAUUUGGGCACAUUAUUGAUUUUCAGUUUCACUUGGAACUCUGUACUAUUAAUUUUGUGAUCUUUGGUUUUAGAAGUAGAAGGCUUUAGAUUGUUUUAAACAUGACUAAUUGGUUGGAGGUUUUCCAAAAGAAGUGUAUAGGCAAAAGAAAGAAGGGGUUCUCACUUCAUGUCCUUCAGUGUUAUUGGUCAUGUUAUUAAAUCUACUUGUUACAUCAUAUAAUCUUGCAGGAUUUUUUUUUUGGUGCUGUUUUAUUUGUCCUUUAUUUUGACUGCAUUGUUUCUUUUGGAGUAAUUUUGAAUUCCUAAAACUGCAGGUACAUUUUUUCCUCUCAACUCAGUUUCCAAAACAGCAGCCGUCUAUGAUGCUUCAAAGUACUCAGGUGCUGAUAUUUAUUACUUCCAAUCUAAAAUUUUGUGGUGCUUUCAUUAAUCAAUGCAUGCCACUAAUCAAGAAUGCCCAUAUCAAAUUGGACCAUAUUCUUUUGUAUAUUUUUUGUUGUUUGAUGUCCUAUGCUUUUGACCAGAAAGGGGUUGAUAAACUAUAUGUCUACACAAAUUUAGAAUUGCUUUCCUUUUGUGGAGGCUGAUGCUGAUGUAGCACUUGAUUAUCAUAAUUUUUUUUUAAAAUUUUCUUUUACUACUUAUAUCUGAUGGGUCAGAACAAAAGGAAGUGUGGUUUCUAGAUUUUGUGCUUCACAAGAUAAUUCUCUUGGUAUCGCAUAGAACGUUUCCACUAAAAUUAUCUGCUGUUUUUAGAUCACUAAUAAUAAGCAUAGAAAACCUAUUGUUUUGCAAAGGAUCUCCAUAAGAUGUCUUGGUAUGCUUCUUCUUGUUGGUUGAAUUUUAUGUUAAGAAUGUUGGUGGUGAUUAAUCAGUUGAUGAUCUGGUGUACUAUCAAUGGCAAUUAACCUUGAAAACCUAAUGUUGUUUAUUUUUCUAAUAACCAUCUGCUUUAUACUUUUAAGACAUAAAUCUUCAAAGGGUUUGCAUAGAAAUCCUUUACUGAU
This 2710-nucleotide unclassified non-coding RNA is filed under the name Hevea brasiliensis (rubber tree). The record is from RNAcentral. Lineage: Eukaryota; Viridiplantae; Streptophyta; Magnoliopsida; Malpighiales; Euphorbiaceae.